AGCAGCCGCGGUAAUUCCAGCUCCAAUAGCGUAUAUUAAAGUUGUUGCAGUUAAAAAGCUCGUAGUUGAAUUUCGGGAUUGACGUGAUGGUCGUGCCUUAAGGGGUAUGAACUGUCGCAGUUGAUUUCUCACCUUCUGGAGAAGCAUGAUGUCCUUAAUUGGGUGUCAUGUGGAACCAGGACCUUUACCUUGAAAAAAUUAGAGUGUUUAAAGCAGGCAUUUUGCUCGAAUACAUUAGCAUGGAAUAAUAGAAUAGGACGGCAUGGUUCUAUUUUGUUGGUUUCUAGGAUCACCAUAAUGAUUAAUAGGGAUAGUUGGGGGCAUUAGUAUUCAAUUGUCAGAGGUGAAAUUCUUGGAUUUAUUGAAGACUAACUACUGCGAAAGCAUUUGCCAAGGAUGUUUUCAUUAAUCAAGAACGAAAGUUAGGGGAUCGAAGACGAUCAGAUACCGUCGUAGUCUUAACCAUAAACUAUGCCGACUAGGAAUCAGACGAUGUUAAUUUUUUAAUGACUCGUUUGGCACCUUACG
RNAcentral lists this unclassified non-coding RNA (528 nucleotides) under uncultured Glomeromycotina. Its description in RNAcentral is "SSU rRNA". It matches the Rfam family "Eukaryotic small subunit ribosomal RNA", at positions 569 to 1092 of the family's 1831-position model. The record is from RNAcentral. Lineage: Eukaryota; Fungi; Glomeromycota.